AUUGAACGCUGGCGGCAUGCCUUACACAUGCAAGUCGAACGGCAGCACGGGGCAACCUGGUGGCGAGUGGCGAACGGGUGAGUAAUAUAUCGGAACGUGCCCUGGAGUGGGGGAUAACGCAGCGAAAGUUGCGCUAAUACCGCAUACGAUCUAAGGAUGAAAGUGGGGGAUUCGCAAGAACCUCAUGCUCCUGGAGCGGCCGAUAUCUGAUUAGCUAGUUGGUGGGGUAAAGGCCUACCAAGGCAUCGAUCAGUAGCUGGUCUGAGAGGACGACCAGCCACACUGGAACUGAGACACGGUCCAGACUCCUACGGGAGGCAGCAGUGGGGGAA
This 332-nucleotide ribosomal RNA is filed under the name uncultured bacterium. RNAcentral's name for it is "bacterial SSU rRNA". It matches the Rfam family "Bacterial small subunit ribosomal RNA", at positions 30 to 362 of the family's 1533-position model. The record is from RNAcentral.